GUGGGGAAUAUUGGACAAUGGGCGAAAGCCUGAUCCAGCCAUGCCGCGUGUGUGAAGAAGGUCUUCGGAUUGUAAAGCACUUUAAGUUGGGAGGAAGGGCAGUAAGUUAAUACCUUGCUGUUUUGACGUUACCGACAGAAUAAGCACCGGCUAACUUCGUGCCAGCAGCCGCGGUAAUACGAAGGGUGCAAGCGUUAAUCGGAAUUAAUGGGCGUAAAGCGCGCGUAGGUGGUUUUGUAAGUUGGAGGUGAAAUCCCCGGGCUCAACCUGGGAACUGCCUCCAAAACUGCAUGACUAGAGUACGGUAGAGGGUAGUGGAAUUUCCUGUGUAGCGGUGAAAUGCGUAGAUAUAGGAAGGAACACCAGUGGCGAAGGCGACUACCUGGACUGAUACUGACACUGAGGUGCGAAAGCGUGGGGAGCAAACAGGAUUAGAUACCCCAGUAGUCC
This 450-nucleotide ribosomal RNA is filed under the name uncultured bacterium. RNAcentral describes it as "partial 16S ribosomal RNA". It matches the Rfam family "Bacterial small subunit ribosomal RNA", at positions 354 to 796 of the family's 1533-position model. The record is from RNAcentral.